UGUCUGUAACCAGGUUGCAAGU
Molecule: microRNA, 22 nt
Filed under: Panagrellus redivivus
Lineage: Eukaryota; Metazoa; Nematoda; Chromadorea; Rhabditida; Panagrolaimidae
Description: prd-miR-7869-3p
Source: miRBase by way of RNAcentral